Homo sapiens (human) is the source of this 752-nucleotide long non-coding RNA. RefSeq annotates it as long independently transcribed non-coding RNA 2506. The record is from RefSeq and is marked validated. The transcript has 3 exons. NCBI's taxonomy places the organism in Eukaryota, Metazoa, Chordata, Mammalia, Primates, Hominidae.
GGUAACCCCCUUGGAUCCCCUUCCACACUGUGGGAGGUUUGUUCUUUUGCUCUUUGCAAUAAAGCUUGCUGCUGCUCACUCUUUGGGUCCAGACUGUCUUUAUGAGCUAUAACACUCACCGGGAAGGUCUGCAGCUUCACUCCUGAAGCCAAGGAGACCACGAACCCACCGGGAGGAAGGAACAACUACAGACACGCCGGCUUAAGAGCUGUAGCACUCACUGCGAAGGUCCGCAGCUUCACUCUUGAGCCAGAGACCACGAACCCACCAGAAGGAAGAAACUCCAAACACAUCCGAACAUCAGAAGGAAAAAACUCCAGACACGCCGCCUUUAAGAACUGCAACACUGCGAGGGUCCGCGGCUUCAUUCUUGAAGUCAGUGAGACCAAGAACCCACCAAUUCCAGACACACUACCAAAGGCAGAGGGGAGCUCCUAGACAAAGAUAUUUUGCUUACAAAUGGAACAUAUCAAAUCAAGCUUUUGUGAACUUGAGGGAAGAAACAAAGAAUAUGAAGCCUAAAUGGAAGUGUCAGGAAAUGGUCGCCUUGCGGACAAGGAAACAGCAGCCUGGAAGGCCAGGAGAGGGCAGACUACCCACCUAACCCUCUGCAGAAUUUUGUGUGGACCCUGGAGACCAGAAACUAACUUCUCCUGCAGAGACAAGGUCUUGCUCUGUCACCCUGGCUGGUCUUGAACUCCUGGCUUCAAGCAAUUCAUCCAUCUCAGCCUCCUGAGUAGCUGGGAUUACAG